This 1109-nucleotide ribosomal RNA is filed under the name Neisseria meningitidis. RNAcentral describes it as "bacterial SSU rRNA". It matches the Rfam family "Bacterial small subunit ribosomal RNA", at positions 8 to 1106 of the family's 1533-position model. Lineage: Bacteria; Pseudomonadati; Pseudomonadota; Betaproteobacteria; Neisseriales; Neisseriaceae. The record is from RNAcentral.
AGAGUUUGAUCCUGGCUCAGAUUGAACGCUGGCGGCAUGCUUUACACAUGCAAGUCGGACGGCAGCACAGAGAAGCUUGCUUCUCGGGUGGCGAGUGGCGAACGGGUGAGUAACAUAUCGGAACGUACCGAGUAGUGGGGGAUAACUGAUCGAAAGAUCAGCUAAUACCGCAUACGUCUUGAGAGAGAAAGCAGGGGACCUUCGGGUCUUGCGCUAUUCGAGCGGCCGAUAUCUGAUUAGCUAGUUGGUGGGGUAAAGGCUCACCAAGGCGACGAUCAGUAGCGGGUCUGAGAGGAUGAUCCGCCACACUGGGACUGAGACACGGCCCAGACUCCUACGGGAGGCAGCAGUGGGGAAUUUUGGACAAUGGGCGCAAGCCUGAUCCAGCCAUGCCGCGUGUCUGAAGAAGGCCUUCGGGUUGUAAAGGACUUUUGUCAGGGAAGAAAAGGCUGUUGCUAAUACCAGCGGCUGAUGACGGUACCUGAAGAAUAAGCACCGGCUAACUACGUGCCAGCAGCCGCGGUAAUACGUAGGGUGCGAGCGUUAAUCGGAAUUACUGGGCGUAAAGCGGGCGCAGACGGUUACUUAAGCAGGAUGUGAAAUCCCCGGGCUCAACCCGGGAACUGCGUUCUGAACUGGGUGACUCGAGUGUGUCAGAGGGAGGUAGAAUUCCACGUGUAGCAGUGAAAUGCGUAGAGAUGUGGAGGAAUACCGAUGGCGAAGGCAGCCUCCUGGGAUAACACUGACGUUCAUGCCCGAAAGCGUGGGUAGCAAACAGGAUUAGAUACCCUGGUAGUCCACGCCCUAAACGAUGUCAAUUAGCUGUUGGGCAACCUGAUUGCUUAGUAGCGUAGCUAACGCGUGAAAUUGACCGCCUGGGGAGUACGGUCGCAAGAUUAAAACUCAAAGGAAUUGACGGGGACCCGCACAAGCGGUGGAUGAUGUGGAUUAAUUCGAUGCAACGCGAAGAACCUUACCUGGUCUUGACAUGUACGGAAUCCUCCGGAGACGGAGGAGUGCCUUCGGGAGCCGUAACACAGGUGCUGCAUGGCUGUCGUCAGCUCGUGUCGUGAGAUGUUGGGUUAAGUCCCGCAACGAGCGCAACCCUU